UUUUUUUAUCAAGUGUGAUUUUGGGUAAAUAAGCCCUCUGUAAUUUAGAUCUUUACUACUGUCAAGUCUGACUUGUCAAUGAGAAACCAGUAACUAGUCAAUGUCAAAACUGUGAAAACUGAAAACAAAUUCAGUAAAUUUGAUCUUUUAUGCUGCAUUGCUGAAAAUUGACAGUAAAUUUUCAUGUACUGAAAUGAAGGCUCAAUGCUGCAUUGCUGACUGGAUAAAUUCAUUGCUGAACAAUUUCUGAACUUUAAUUUGUUCAUUGCGUAUAUGAAGGCUCUCUAGCACAUCAGGAUGAUCCACUCAUCAAAUUACAGACUAGAUGAUCCGCUGCUACUCUAAUUCACCUCAAUUUGAUCUGCACAACAAAUUAACAUCAAUUUGACAUUGAUUUCAGGGCGCUGGCUACCUUUCAGUAGCAGCAGAGGCGGCGAGGAGGAGCUGGGUCGCCUGGACGAAGAAGAAGAAAUCGGCAAGGAGGAAAGGGUGGGCGGCGGUGGUCGCCUCUGUAGCAGGUGGGCGGCGGCGUUGGGCCCUACAGUGUUUGCGCUGGUCACCUCGGUGCACGGCAGUGGAGCAGCGGCUGCCCGAGGUCUUGCCCAACUCCCACAGCAGAGUGCCCGGCCUUGGCACGCCGGGGUUGCGACCGGAGAUGCCGGGGUUGCGACCGGAGAUGCGAGCAGAACGACGAGUAGAGCCGCCCAUGAGCCGUGGAAUCACCGCCCGUCGAGGUGUCGCCGCGGAGGAGCAGGUGGGCGGCGGCAAAGCUCGCCUCCGCAGCGCAACUAGGCAAGGGCGGCGCAAGAUGGCAGCUGCGGGGCAGGUGGGCGGCGGCGCAAGUGGGACUUCAUCACGCGGUGCUCGCAGGCGAUGGGGGGAGACGAAGGCUAGAGCAUGCGGUGCCGGCGGGCGUCAGGGGAGGAAGAAGGGCUGAUUAGAACUAGAUUUAAAAUGAAAGGUUUUUUUUGUAAAGUUACAAUUGAACUACGCUGGUGACAACUUUUCCCGGACGGAGGGAGUAUAUUGGUAGUACAGUUGCAUCGAGGGGUAACGCAUAAAGCCAAGCCACUGACGUUAGCUAUCAAAAAUUUCAUUCCAAGCCAUGACAACUAAUAUUCUCGCACUCGGUUGCAUCCAAAUGGACAAGCAUGCUACCAGAUUGACCAUAUGGAUUACAGCACCGCCAACCACUUGUAUAUAUGACUUGAACAGGCAUCAGCCCAGAGAAGGGUGGACAUAUAAAAAAGCUUCAUUGCUGCUCCAAGGCAUACUUAUUACAACUAAUCAGAAAGCAUCAUCAGAACUAAUCAGACUUGAAGUACUUCAUGGUGGUAGUUCAUACUCUUGUAGCUUGUGAUUAUCUAAUAUCAAGAUUUCUAGGCGGGCAAUUUUAUUCAUAUACGUUUCAUGAAAAUUAUGUCGUUAAAGGAGGUAGUAGUUCAAGGUAGCCCACUGAAAGCUAAGGAAUUAACCACAUAGGAGAUCAAGAUGUAGAAUACACUGAAGUUCAAAUGAACAUAUUACUGGAAAUAUCAACGGUGCAUAGAAAGGGGGCAACACACAAGAGGCAAACAUAGACAUAUAUAGGGGAGGAGUGCUGCAGAUUAGGCUGCACCCCUGUGGGCCCUGGGAGUAAGCAUGUAGGCACGCAAUAUCCAACGCAUUCAUAUGGGCAAACCCCACUCUAUAUCCGAUACACUUGGCGAUCCGCGUUGCAGAUGCUCUUACACCCCUGUGUGACAUUUCAGCAUUCAAAUGGUUGCUCACUGAAAGCAAGCCAUCCCAAUUUGCACGCUUCCACCUAGUCACACAAAACCCUAACCCUAACACAUACCAUAAAUACAAGUGAUGGUAUCUGAUCUCAAUACACCUCUGAAUGAGCCUUACUCAUCAUCGCCAUCAACAGCACUUUGGCGCAAAUCCCACAAAGAGAACAACAGAGAAGCCAAUAGUCAAAGAGCGCAAGAUGGCAAGGAACCACAGGAGAAUCAGUAAAAGCAGAAAGAAUCACUAUAUCAGGAGCAAAUCAUGAACUGGUGGACACAAAAACUGGGACAUGUAUAAGUAAAUGGCUCAGAUACACUCCCAUCUCAACACUAUAACUGAAUUUCUGGUAGAAUGACCAUGAACAUUUAUAUUUGUGAACGGAGGGAAUAACAGUUAAGAAGGGAGCCUUGGAGCAGCGGUAAAGCUGUAGCCUUGUAACCUUGAGGUCAUGGGUUCGAGUCCUGGAAACAGCCUCUUGCAGAAAUGUAGGGAAAGGCUGCGUACUAUAGAUCCAAAGCGAUUGGACCCUUCCCCGGACCCUGUGCAAGCAGGAGCUACGUGCACCGGACUGCCCUUUAGGGAGUAAUAGUUAGCCGCUAAACUGGUUACUUGCUGUGACACAAGCCAUCCUAGUUUAGCACCAAGUAAAUCGAUUCAGGUGUUAAGAUAGAAGCUCUCACAGGGAGGUUAUAUCAUCACAGCCAUUCAUGAACAUGAUACGAAGAAAACAGUAAUCUUGACAGCUGAACUUGCCCUAUACGACCCUUAAGUUGAAACCAGUAAAGAAGUAACGCGAAACCAAAAGUACAAACUGAUAAGUAGAUAAAGAGUACAAUAGAAGGAUGAAAUUAUCAAGUCAAAUAGCAAUUGAAACAAGCAAACUGACCCAGCACCAAAUAAGAUAGUUUCAAAAGCCAUCCAAGGGACAGCAGAAUUAUCAUAGCCAUUCAAGAAGAAGGAAGAAACGGAAAAAGGAAAAAAAACAGAAGAAAUAAUUAAGUGUGGCUGGAGUACUGUUCCUAAAACAACAGAACUCGUUGACUACUGCAAAACCAACAAAAUGUGUAGGAAAAAAGGAAAAACAGUCCCUUGCAUCCACCAGACCAUGAUUUUACCGAAAGAACUAAUAUCAUAACCAAACUCUCAACAUAUCUUUAACAUAUACAUGGAUGCGAGCAAGCAAGAAAUACAAAUUCUCAGAAAGGAAAAGAUCAGUUCAAAUUUUGGGAAGGAAACACUUAUUUUUACUCAGAACUUUAUUGGGCGGGAGUCUCGGAAUUGGCCAAUUUAUAGAAGGUAGUCAUGGUAUUUUUGCAACAAGAGAUUAUAAGAGGUAGAUACAGGCUUAUGACAACAUUGUGUUUUUCCACGUAUUGCCUUCUAUAAGCAAUUAAAAUGGUCAUCAGCAGAAAGCAAACCGUGCAAAUUGUAUUCCUUGAGACCAGUUAGCAGUUGCUGUGCUGGACCAAAACAGUAGAAAAGAAGUUUGACAACUUGCCAACUUGAAUGUACAUCACUGCCAAAAGAACCAGUAAAAAUUUAAUAGGGGUAGUAAAUAAGGACAUGGAAUAUGACCAAAGAACUAGCCAUGGGCAAUUGGGCAGGGGUGCGAGGAAGCUAGCUAUCCAUGUGCCAGAACCAUGAGUUGGUUGCGAGAUCCUAUGGGUUUGCUGUUUUCCAUGUGCCAGCUCUAGCCUACCCCAACUUGUUUGGAACUAAAGGCUUUGCUGUUGUUGUUGGUAGUAAAGGAGGACAUGCACAGAUCAUCUUCCGCAUAUUUAACCACUCAACAGAAUGACCAUCCAAGACAGAGCCAUCAAUAUUCGGUCAGAAUGAAAAGGUCAUAAAAGAGGGGAGAGCGUUUUUUUAAUACCCACGGCUCCUCGAAUAAUCGAAGACAGGUUUAUUGUCAGCCAAGUUUGAUCAUCAUCGCCCCUUAUAAAUAGAUAGAGAGAUCCCUUUGCGCAUGCAACAGGUAAGGGUGAAAAGUCGGUUGGACCAGAUACAGAAUAUCUGCAGCUAAGCACAGUAUCAGCAGCUGGAGGGCGAUUAGAACAUGAGGAAUAGUUCACAAAAUCCUGGGGAAUUUUUGGGGAGUACUAUUUGAAUGAGUGACUCAAACACCAUGAAUCACCAAAGUUGGGAAAUGCUUCAGGUGGUACAAAGUACUGGGAAAUUUUUGGGGAGUACUAUUUGAAUGAAUGAAGUGGUACCAUAAACAAUAAAAUAUCUGUCUCCCUCUCCCUCUCUCUCUCCAGCAACAAAUUGCCGCAACUAGUAACUUGCUGCAGCGCAAGGCCUCCUAGUUUAACGACCAGCUGUCUAACUGGGCAAAUUUGAAUGGAACCAACCUAGGAGACGUGAAAGCAUCUCUAUCACAAGAUAGUUGAAAGAUCUCCAACGCCAAGGGGCAGAAAUCACCAUAGCCAUUCAGAAAAUAAUAAAACUCAUCAACACACAACGGAAACAAAUAUGCUGUGUUCAGAAGUUAACUUGGAACACUGCACUGAUGUCCGUAUUACUGGCAACGAAAGAAGCAAUUGACAUUUGUACACUUCAGAUAAAAGGAGUAACUACAAGCCAAAUAAAAAUAGGAUGACAUAAACUUUCCGUUUUGAAACAGCAGAAAAGCAUAAGCUUGCAAAAAGGGAUGCACAUAAUACAAACAGAAAACAGGAAAUGCAGCUCGCCCGUUUAUCCCAUGAAAAAUGGGUUCUAAUGCUAAAUAGUCAGACAUGUAACACUGGAUAGUGGCAAUACUAUUCCACCAUGAAACUGAACAGCGGUCAGUCCAACCUCUGGCAAAAUGAAAACACAGCCAAAUCAAGAAUACUGAAUAAAAUUUAAAAUAUAUAAUGAGAAGAGGGCCAACCGCCAACAUAUAAAUCCCAAAUGACUCAAGCAAAAGCUCCAGGAGGACAUCCAGUUAUGAUAAGACAAAAUCAAGGUUUUUGAGUCGAUGAGUCGGCGAGUCGCUCAGGGGGGGCGACUCUAGACUAGUCGUGACUCAUGGUCGACGAGUCGACAUGCGAUGAGUCGACGUGAGUUAAGUAGUAGGGAGCAGACCAGCGGCAACUAAGGGAGGAGCCGCAGCAGCAAGAGAUGGGAGGGGCAGACCUGCAGUAGCAGCAACCAAGGGAUGAGCAGCAGCAACCAGGGGAGAAGGGGACGAGCAGCCAGCCAGCGGCAGCGGCUGCUGCAGAAGAGAGCUGGGUCGGGGGAGGGGAGUGGAACUGUUCGAUCUAGGUUUCCAGACGCUCCAAUCUUCCUUCAAUAUUGGCCCAGAAGCAAUAUUAGCCCAAUAAGGCCCAAUGAAACCCUAGCCUGCCUAGCUCAAUCUGAACCAUCUAUAUUCUCUAAUCUUCACCGUCCAUCCACUCUCUUCUUUCUCUCUCUCUCACCUGCUCCCCUUCCAGCCUCCAGGAACGAAUCGACAGCCGCAAUGGCCUUGCUGCAGCUCCUCUUCCAUGGCUUCUCUGCCUUCGCCCCUUCCUCUCCGCCUCCCCCAUCCUUCUCUGCUCCGUUUUCUACGCCCAACUCCUCUUCCAUCACAGGUUGAUCGAGUCGUUCGACUCAAAAACCGCGACUAGUCGAGACUAGUCGGGACUAGUCGAUCAAGUCGCUCGACUCAUCCAAUGAUUCGAGUCGACAGGUUGAGUCAACCUUCAUGUAACGACUCGUCGACUAGUCGACGACUAGUCGCGACUAGUCGUUCGACUCGAAAUCCAUGGACAAAAUAUAAGAGCCUUUCUAACAAAUACACUUUUGCAGUUGAUAAAUUUAUUUGACACUCAUUUCGAAUCCGUGCAAGGGAUCUGUGCCACGUUGAUGCAUCAGAAAUGUGGCAGUUAAUAUUGACAGCAGCAGCUAAAGAAUAGACUAACUACCAAUGAACUAAAUAGCAUAGAGAAUCAUAACAAAAGGUCUGCUCUGACCAAAACAAAUAUGAAGGUAAUAUGAGCUUCAGAUUAUAAAAAACAGAGACAUAGCAGAUCAAAGGGCAAUCGAUAACCAGAUGAAUAGAACUGUCAAUAGCUACAAGCAUUGGAGGAAAAAAGGGCAAUCGUUUGACUCAUAUAUAGUACGUACAACUAGAAAGGCAAAAACGAUGCCAACUAGAAACCAACCCAAGUAAAGCUAGGGUUGUUGGGUUCGUCACCAAGAGAAGAUAUCAAUCCAGAUCCGGAUCUCACAUCAACACAAUAGAGAAAUAGAAAAUUAAAAACAAUGUAUAGUGGAGAAAAAAAAACUGAGUAUUUGUAGCGUAGCAAGAGGGCUCAGUUUUGCCUUUUAUCUUGAAGCCCAACACUCACGUCUCUUGCUGCAUAACCUACCCAUCGCGAUGUAAUUGAACUGCCCUGGUUAUCACUCAUCAGAAUGACCAUCCGAGGCGCAGAACAUCCAACAUUAGCCAUGAAUUGAAUAGGCUGCAAGAGAAGUAAGGGUGAGAGCUCUUAAGGGCAUCUCCAACGCCGGCACCCAUUUGGGGCCUAUUUAGUACCCACAUGCCACGGCUGUCUUGAUUGCUCAACACAUAAUUAUUUCAGCCGCAGGCAUCAUCAUCGCCCUUUUUUUUUAAAAAAAAAAAGGUCAAACCCCCCAAGCAACAUGACCAUAACAUCCAUCAUCCAUCCAUCCAUUCAUCCAUCAGACUAGCCAUAGUGGUGAGUAACUUAGACAAUCUCAGGAGCUGCUCAUACCUGGCCUUGACCGACCAAACCUCCUGGUGUGGACGACACAUCAGACAACGCCUUACGGUUCCCAGCCACGCCACAACCAAAUCCAAGGCAAUGGACUGGCGGCGGCUGGCAGCACCGUAGAGACCGGGAACUGACAUGGCAGCUACCCGGACGAUGGGUCAGCGAGUCGGCAAUGAAAGCUUGACUGAUUUGUUUAAGGGAGAGANNN
This 6678-nucleotide long non-coding RNA is filed under the name Triticum aestivum (bread wheat). RNAcentral's name for it is "long non-coding RNA (TAES_LNC016994)". The record is from RNAcentral. Lineage: Eukaryota; Viridiplantae; Streptophyta; Magnoliopsida; Poales; Poaceae.